CCGUGUAUCACUUUUAAUUUAAAAAAUCUUGAAAAUAUUUAGUCAAUUCAAAGCUCCAUCUCCCUUCAGAGCUGCCUCUGGUCUCUCAGGGUUCUUCUCUUCAGGAUCUCCUUGUCUCCCACAAGGCAUCUGAGCCUAGGAGCACUUUGUGGUUGUAGCAAAAGGGGUCUCUGUUCUGAAUCCUGCCUCUUCUGGGCAUCCUUUGUUGUCCCUUGAGGUGUGGCUGGUGCCUUCUGCAUGGUUUGAGCCUUGUGCUGGGGCUCAGUGCUGACUGUGCCCACACAAUGCCCUUUGUGAGGUUUCUGCUCUCUGUGGCCUUCUUGUCCCAACCUCAGGCCUCCACAUGUGACUUCUGCACCUCAUCUCUGGGAUGGUUUCAGUGGGUCCUAGAUUGCUUUCUGUGCUCCCUGGGACAGUUGGUGGCACUCUGUGAGACUACUCUGAGGUACCCUUACAAGCUACUCUUAAUUUUCCCCGCUGUUCUGCUUGUUGGACAUGGCAUCAUGCUGCAAUGUUAACAGUCUUUCAAAGCUAAGCGCGGAGGAUGUGAUUCCAUCCCUGGCAGUUCUUAGAUUCCCUACCAGUCCUUUCCAUCAUGGGCUCCUGUGGAAAAUGACCCCAGCUCAGCUCAGUAGUUGAUGGGACAUCUGAUUCAGGUUGGACCCAGCCCAGACAUCUGAUUCAAACAAUAUUCUUCUCCAGGAAUUUUGUAACCAGCACUGGUAAAGGGAGGGAAGUGCUCCCCAGUGGGGAGAGCUGCAGAAUGUGAGACUUGGAAACCAAAGGCCGCCAUGUUUUCUGUCUCAUGAUGGAAUCCAAUCUUCUUUGGCGGGGAAAAUAAAUGAAGCCAACACCAGACAACAUAUAUCAAGCAGGGGCCAUUGCUCCAGCCUGACUCCAGGAAUCAGCAGACAGCGCAGCCUCAUUCUCCACCUGCUCCCUGCAGUACAGCCUCAGAACCACACAGUUGCAGCCAACCAGCUCCUGACAUGGAACUUGAGCAACAAAUGCCCUUUGUUUUUGCAAGUCCCUGAGAUUUGGAAGUUGUUACACAGCAUUCUCUCAGCCAGAAGUGACUGACAUGGUAUCAUUGCAGUCUUGAUCAAUUUGCCCUAUGCAAAGUGUUUUUAUAUGCCAUGAAUUUCUGAAGAUAGAACUACUGUUAUUCCCCAUGCAGCAGCUGAGGAAACUGAGUCUUAGAAUGUAUAAACAACUUUCCCAAGGCUACUGAAAGUGAUGGGAAUCAAAUAUAUCUUUGCCUAACUCCAGAUCCCAUGCUUUUGAAGAUAUUUAUACUGCCUAAAGCUGUAACAGACUUUUCUAAUAGUCAUACAUGGCAUAUUUAGUUGCUCUCCAUGGGGAAAUAAUGACCUGACAUGGAAAAUAUUGGUGUACUUUAUUAUGAGAUUCUAAUAAGCAACCAUUAUACAUGUAUAUAAUAUAUACAUGCAACCUCUUAAGCUUAUGCCAUUCUGUAUGGAUGUUACUAGCUUGAAGAAAUUCUAAAGAGUAGGGAUAUUAAAAAUACUGAGCCAAUAAAGUAGGAUAAUUUUUUUAUUGUAGUCAAUUUUCAUUUAUAAUAUUAAAUUCUUG
RNAcentral lists this long non-coding RNA (1593 nucleotides) under Homo sapiens (human). RNAcentral's name for it is "HSALNT0347034". Lineage: Eukaryota; Metazoa; Chordata; Mammalia; Primates; Hominidae. The record is from RNAcentral.